Sycon ciliatum is the source of this 282-nucleotide long non-coding RNA. RefSeq lists it as uncharacterized. The transcript is spliced from 3 exons. The record is from RefSeq and is a predicted model, not a curated record. Lineage: Eukaryota; Metazoa; Porifera; Calcarea; Leucosolenida; Sycettidae.
AGUGCACAGAUUGGGAUAUUCGGGCGGUUUACAGGAUCCGGUCUCUAUGAUGGUCAGACAAGCUCAAACGUUCAGAAUCUCUUCAAAUCCAAUGUGCUGUCAAUAUUAUUCCCCAAGAGAGCACUGGAGAUUGAUUUCUUUUCAGACAGUCAACUUGGAUCAUCAAUGAUUGAAGUGCACUGCGACCUCACCGCUCCAGCAGACUACAUAUCGGAGAUCGGUGGCAAUAACACGGAGGAAAAUCUGCGCGAACGUUUCACAGAUGCUCUACAAACUGUCAAU